UACGUAGGGUGCGAGCGUUGUCCGGAAUUAUUGGGCGUAAAGAGCUCGUAGGCGGUGUGUCACGUCGUUCGUGAAAACCUGCAGCUUAACUCUGGGCGUGCGGUCGAUACGGGCAUCACUAGAGUUCGGCAGGGGAGACUGGAAUUCCUGGUGUAGCGGUGAAAUGCGCAGAUAUCAGGAGGAACACCGGUGGCGAAGGCGGGUCUCUGGGCCGAUACUGACGCUGAGGAGCGAAAGCAUGGGUAGCGAACAGG
Molecule: ribosomal RNA, 254 nt
Filed under: uncultured bacterium
Lineage: Bacteria
Description: partial 16S ribosomal RNA
Rfam family: Bacterial small subunit ribosomal RNA
Source: RNAcentral